UUGGAGGGCAAGUCUGGUGCCAGCAGCCGCGGUAAUUCCAGCUCCAAUAGCGUAUAUUAAAGUUGUUGCAGUUAAAAAGCUCGUAGUUGAAUUUCGGGGUUAGUAAGUUGGUCAUGCCAUUGGUAUGCACUGGCUUUACUGAUUCCUCCUUCUUGACGAACCGUGAUGUCAUUAAUUUGGUGUUGCGGGAAGUCAGGACUGUUACUUUGAAAAAAUUAGAGUGUUUAAAGCAGGCUAACGCUUGAAUACAUUAGCAUGGAAUAAUGAAAUAGGACGUUAAUCCUAUUUUGUUGGUUUCUAGGAUCGACGUAAUGAUUAAUAGGGAUAGUUGGGGGCAUUAGUAUUCAAUUGUCAGAGGUGAAAUUCUUGGAUUUAUUGAAGACUAACUACUGCGAAAGCAUUUGCCAAGGAUGUUUUCAUUAAUCAAGAACGAAAGUUAGGGGAUCGAAGACGAUCAGAUACCGUCGUAGUCUUAACCAUAAACUAUGCCGACUAGGGAUCGGAUGAUGUUAAUUCUUUAAUGACUCAUUCGGCGCCUUACGGGAAAC
This 548-nucleotide ribosomal RNA is filed under the name uncultured Glomeromycotina. RNAcentral's name for it is "SSU rRNA". It matches the Rfam family "Eukaryotic small subunit ribosomal RNA", at positions 548 to 1098 of the family's 1831-position model. The record is from RNAcentral. Lineage: Eukaryota; Fungi; Glomeromycota.